UACAGAGGUGGCAAGCGUUGCUCGGAAUCACUGGGCAUAAAGGGCGUCUAGGCGGACCGGUCAGUCGGCUGUGAAAUCCCUCGGCUCACCCGAGGAAGUGCAUCCGAAACUGCCGGUCUUGAGGGCGAGAGGGGAGAGUGGAACUCCUGGUGGAGCGGUGAAAUGCGUAGAUAUCAGGAGGAACGCCGGUGGCGAAAGCGACUCUCUGGAUCGUUCCUGACGCUGAAGCGCGAAAGCUAGGGGAGCGAACGGGAUUAGAUACCCCCGUA
This 269-nucleotide ribosomal RNA is filed under the name uncultured prokaryote. Its description in RNAcentral is "partial 16S ribosomal RNA". It matches the Rfam family "Bacterial small subunit ribosomal RNA", at positions 524 to 792 of the family's 1533-position model. The record is from RNAcentral.